GACGAACGCUGGCGGCGUGCUUAACACAUGCAAGUCGAACGGAAAGGCCCUUCGGGGUACUCGAGUGGCGAACGGGUAAGUAACACGUGGGUGAUCUGCCCUGCACUUUGGGAUAAGCCUGGGAAACUGGGUCUAAUACCGAAUAGGACCGCGCUCUUCAUGGGGUGUGGUGGAAAGCUUUUGCGGUGUGGGAUGGGCCCGCGGCCUAUCAGCUUGUUGGUGGGGUAAUGGCCUACCAAGGCGACGACGGGUAGCCGGCCUGAGAGGGUGACCGGCCACACUGGGACUGAGAUACGGCCCAGACUCCUACGGGAGGCAGCAGUGGGGAAUAUUGCACAAUGGGCGCAAGCCUGAUGCAGCGACGCCGCGUGAGGGAUGACGGCCUUCGGGUUGUAAACCUCUUUCAGUACCGACGAAGCGCAAGUGACGGUAGGUACAGAAGAAAGACCGGNCAACUACGUGCCAGCAGCCGCGGUAAUACGUAGGGUCCGAGCGUUGUCCGAAUUACUGGGCGUAAAGAACUCGUAGGUGGUUUGUCGCGUUGUUCGUGAAAACUCACAGCUUAACUGUGGGCGUGCGGGCGAUACGGGCAGACUAGAGUACUGCAGGGGAGACUGGAAUUCCUGGUGUAGCGGUGGAAUGCGCAGAUAUCAGGAGGAACACCGGUGGCGAAGGCGGGUCUCUGGGCAGUAACUGACGCUGAGGAGCGAAAGCGUGGGGAGCGAACAGGAUUAGAUACCCUGGUAGUCCACGCCGUAAACGGUGGGUACUAGGUGUGGGUUUCCUUCCUUGGGAUCCGUGCCGUAGCUAACGCAUUAAGUACCCCGCCUGGGGAGUACGGCCGCAAGGCUAAAACUCAAAGGAAUUGACGGGGGCCCGCACAAGCGGCGGAGCAUGUGGAUUAAUUCGAUGCAACGCGAAGAACCUUACCUGGGUUUGACAUGCACAGGACGUGCCUAGAGAUAGGUAUUCCCUUGUGGCCUGUGUGCAGGUGGUGCAUGGCUGUCGUCAGCUCGUGUCGUGAGAUGUUGGGUUAAGUCCCGCAACGAGCGCAACCCUUGUCUCAUGUUGCCAGCACGUUAUGGUGGGGACUCGUGAGAGACUGCCGGGGUCAACUCGGAGGAAGGUGGGGAUGACGUCAAGUCAUCAUGCCCCUUAUGUCCAGGGCUUCACACAUGCUACAAUGGCCGGUACAAAGGGCUGCGAUGCCGUAAGGUGGAGCGAAUCCUUUCAAAGCCGGUCUCAGUUCGGAUCGGGGUCUGCAACUCGACCCCGUGAAGUCGGAGUCGCUAGUAAUCGCAGAUCAGCAACGCUGCGGUGAAUACGUUCCCGGGCCU
Molecule: ribosomal RNA, 1337 nt
Filed under: uncultured bacterium
Lineage: Bacteria
Description: bacterial SSU rRNA
Rfam family: Bacterial small subunit ribosomal RNA
Source: RNAcentral